Molecule: ribosomal RNA, 468 nt
Filed under: uncultured bacterium
Lineage: Bacteria
Description: partial 16S ribosomal RNA
Rfam family: Bacterial small subunit ribosomal RNA
Source: RNAcentral
GACGAACGCUGGUGGCGUGCUUAACACAUGCAAGUCGAACGGAAAGGCCCUGCUUUUGUGGGGUGCUCGAGUGGCGAACGGGUGAGUAACACGUGAGUAACCUGCCCUUGACUUUGGGAUAACUUCAGGAAACUGGGGCUAAUACCGGAUAGGAGCUCCUGCUGCAUGGUGGGGGUUGGAAAGUUUCGGCGGUUGGGGAUGGACUCGCGGCUUAUCAGCUUGUUGGUGGGGUAGUGGCUUACCAAGGCUUUGACGGGUAGCCGGCCUGAGAGGGUGACCGGCCACAUUGGGACUGAGAUACGGCCCAGACUCCUACGGGAGGCAGCAGUGGGGAAUAUUGCACAAUGGGCGGAAGCCUGAUGCAGCAACGCCGCGUGCGGGAUGACGGCCUUCGGGUUGUAAACCGCUUUCGCCUGUGACGAAGCGUGAGUGACGGUAAUGGGUAAAGAAGCGCCGGCUAACUACGUG